This 373-nucleotide ribosomal RNA is filed under the name uncultured organism. RNAcentral describes it as "partial 16S ribosomal RNA". It matches the Rfam family "Bacterial small subunit ribosomal RNA", at positions 527 to 896 of the family's 1533-position model. The record is from RNAcentral.
GGAGGGAGCUAGCGUUGUUCGGAAUUACUGGGCGUAAAGCGCACGUAGGCGGCUUUGUAAGUCAGAGGUGAAAGCCUGGAGCUCAACUCCAGAACUGCCUUUGAGACUGCAUCGCUUGAAUCCAGGAGAGGUGAGUGGAAUUCCGAGUGUAGAGGUGAAAUUCGUAGAUAUUCGGAAGAACACCAGUGGCGAAGGCGGCUCACUGGACUGGUAUUGACGCUGAGGUGCGAAAGCGUGGGGGGAGCAAACAGGAUUAGAUACCCUGGUAGUCCACGCCCGUAAACGAUGAUAACUAGCUGUCCGGGCACUUGGUGCUUGGGUGGCGCAGCUAACGCAUUAAGUUAUCCGCCUGGGGAGUACGGCCGCAAGGUUA